CACGUAGGGCGCGAGCGUUGUCCGGAAUUAUUGGGCGUAAAGAGCUCGUAGGCGGCCUGUUGCGUCCGCUGUGAAAGCCCGGGGCUUAACCCCGGGUCGGCAGUGGAUACGGGCUGGCUAGAGGCAGGCAGGGGAGAACGGAAUUCCCGGUGUAGCGGUGAAAUGCGCAGAUAUCGGGAGGAACACCGGUGGCGAAGGCGGUUCUCUGGGCCUGUACUGACGCUGAGGAGCGAAAGCGUGGGGAGCGAACAGG
RNAcentral lists this ribosomal RNA (253 nucleotides) under uncultured bacterium. RNAcentral describes it as "partial 16S ribosomal RNA". It matches the Rfam family "Bacterial small subunit ribosomal RNA", at positions 524 to 776 of the family's 1533-position model. The record is from RNAcentral.